UUAUAUAUUUUUAAAUCAUCUUUACAAUAAAAAAUUUUAGUUUAACUAAAAUAUAAACCUAUCUGCGGUAUACUGCAGGUUAAUAUCUAGAUUAUAGGGCUUAUUGGAUCUAAAGACGGAUCAUCAAAGAUUUUCUAAACUGAAGCAAAAUAUAUUGAAUAUUCGAAUAUCUAUCUGUUACCAAAUUAUAAACAAAUAAGUUCGUAAAACAAUUUAGUAU
Molecule: small RNA, 220 nt
Filed under: Arabidopsis thaliana (thale cress)
Lineage: Eukaryota; Viridiplantae; Streptophyta; Magnoliopsida; Brassicales; Brassicaceae
Description: ATSL263990
Source: RNAcentral